CCUACGGGUGGCAGCAGUGAGGAAUAUUGGUCAAUGGACGGAAGUCUGAACCAGCCAUGUCGCGUGCAGGAAGACGGCGCUAUGAGUUGUAAACUGCUUUUGUACAAGGGUAAACCUGAAUACGUGUAUGCAGCUGAAAGUACGGUACGAAUAAGGAUCGGCUAACUCCGUGCCAGCAGCCGCGGUAAUACGGAGGAUCCAAGCGUUAUCCGGAUUUAUUGGGUUUACAGGGUGCGUAGGCGGAUUGAUGAGUUAGAGGUGAAAUGUCCGAGCUUAACUCGGGAACUGCCUCUAAUACGGUUGAUCUAGAGCGUAGAUGCGUUAGUCGGAAUGUUUGGUGUAGCG
RNAcentral lists this ribosomal RNA (345 nucleotides) under uncultured bacterium. RNAcentral's name for it is "partial 16S ribosomal RNA". It matches the Rfam family "Bacterial small subunit ribosomal RNA", at positions 338 to 680 of the family's 1533-position model. The record is from RNAcentral.